UUUCAGCUUGACUGCGCUGGCCAGGGGCCUCUUCGGGUCGGCCUUGGAGAAGCUCACCCUGGAGAAGACCAAGUAGUCCCCGGGCUGCAGGACGGUCAGCCAGCUGCUGUGGUAGUAGUUGACGUUGCUUCGCACCGAGUGCUUCAUGUCCCACUGAAGUACAGGAAGGCGAAUCCCCCCACAGUGAGCAGAAAAUGCAGCACUACGACUGCCAGAAGAGAGCGGAACAGAUUCUUGCUGUGGCUUGCAGAUGGACCCUGAGGCUGGAUGAACACCUGAGACUGGCGCGGGGGAAGCGGUGGCGGUGGCGACGCCACGCUACUGUGGUGAGAAAUCUACUCUGCAGGCAAAAAGUACUCACAUCUUCCUGUGACAGCAACGGUAACUUUAUGAGGGAAAGGAGGGCUGUGAAAAUUUGCUCUAAAGACACAGAAGAGGCACUGCAGGAAUGUUUUCAUGUCAGCAACUGGUUUUGUUAAAGAGGAACAUUUUAUUUACUGCUGUAACACCUGAAUUUCCUCUUUGGGAAUAAAUAACAUUUAUCAUAUGUUAUUUUAUUUAGACCAGGGUUUUUCAAACAUUUUGGGUCCAGGGAGUGCUUUGGCACACUUUGUGGCAUUUUGGUGCCAAGUAACUAUAAUAAAGUGUGUUGAGGAGCUUCAUUUGGUCUAAGACGACCCUCUGAUGCUUACAACUAAGCUCAUUGUUCAAGGAAUAGCUCUCUGGAACUGAGUUUGUAUCUGUGGAUAUGCAAAUGUUUCUAACCACUUGUUUUUCUUGUCAUGCUAUUGGCUUCACUGUGUGUGCAAAGUUGUUGCGCAUUCAUCAUACAGUCAAGGUUCAGGGUUCGAAUCUCUGCUACGGAUUUCUUGUGUGGAGUUUGCAUUGGCUCCCUGGGCUUGGGAGCAUGUUCUAGCUUUCUGCAACGUGUCGUAAGUUAUCUAGUUAUGCCAAUACCUCAAAAAGGCAUCUUGCCUUAGGAUACUUUGCGUGGUCGCUUUUGAGCUCCUUGUUGUUGGCCGUGAGUGCGCGCCCAUCACGGUGAGAAAGGCGGUAGUGCCAUGUAAGUGAAUGUUAUUUAUCUUAUUUCAUGAACUAUUGAUAGUUUUUACUGGUGUUUGGACUUAGACUACUAUUGCACUUAACUCUUAGUGGCAGCCAAUAUGUAAGGUCAUAGAAGAAGCCAACUAUUUUCUGUGCAGAGAAAUUUUAUUUUUUCAUUUUACAAAGCUAUAAAAAUGGGUAUUGUAUAUACAGUAAUUAACAGUAAAAAUGUAUUUUAGUACUUAGUUCAGUGUUGUGCGUUCCCUCAGCAAACAG
Molecule: long non-coding RNA, 1320 nt
Organism: Phyllopteryx taeniolatus (common seadragon)
Lineage: Eukaryota; Metazoa; Chordata; Actinopteri; Syngnathiformes; Syngnathidae
Exons: 3
Source: RefSeq, a predicted model, not a curated record